Molecule: ribosomal RNA, 548 nt
Filed under: Haloarcula argentinensis
Lineage: Archaea; Methanobacteriati; Methanobacteriota; Halobacteria; Halobacteriales; Haloarculaceae
Description: bacterial SSU rRNA
Rfam family: Archaeal small subunit ribosomal RNA
Source: RNAcentral
CUCGUAGGCAUAUAGCUCAGUAACACGUGGCCAAACUACCCUACAGACCGCGAUAACCUCGGGAAACUGAGGCCAAUGGCGGAUAUAACUCUCAUGCUGGAGUGCCGAGAGUUAGAAACGUUCCGGCGCUGUAGGAUGUGGCUGCGGCCGAUUAGGUAGAUGGUGGGGUAACGGCCCACCAUGCCGAUAAUCGGUACAGGUUGUGAGAGCAAGAGCCUGGAGACGGUAUCUGAGACAAGAUACCGGGCCCUACGGGGCGCAGCAGGCGCGAAACCUUUACACUGCACGACAGUGCGAUAGGGGGACUCCGAGUGUGAGGGCAUAUAGCCCUCGCUUUUCUGUACCGUAAGGUGGUACAGGAACAAGGACUGGGCAAGACCGGUGCCAGCCGCCGCGGUAAUACCGGCAGUCCAAGUGAUGGCCGAUAUUAUUGGGCCUAAAGCGUCCGUAGCUUGCUGUGUAAGUCCAUUGGGAAAUCGACCAGCUCAACUGGUCGGCGUCCGGUGGAAACUACACAGCUUGGGGCCGAGAGACUCAACGGGUACGUC